AGAUUCAAGAAAACCCAGACCAAGCUUGGGAUUCUAAGAGUCUCUCCGUGCAAGCUGACCUCAUGGAGAAAGUGGCAGAGCUUGUCCCUUCCACUGGGAGACCCUGGAGUUCAUUCAGGAGACUGGAUGCCCCUGGGCUCGGGCUGCACUGUGGACCCCACUGUGGAAUCACCACUCCCAGGCUGACCUCAGGCAGGUUCCAGAUCUGUUCUCCACUUCUGCAACAAAACUUACCCGGGCCAUGGUUUUAUGCAGAAAUCUGACAAGGCAGGUCCAUCAAGAGGUUUCCAGAAGAAGGCAUCGCUAUCACAGGAGAUGGCAGCUCCAUGCCUGUUACUGCCCCUGAAGAUGUUCCAGUGGGACAGGGUGUGGAGGUGGAAGACAGCAACAGUGACGAUCCUGACCCUAAAUUGACCAGAUUGCUUUGAGGAACUAAGAAGCUGUUAAACCUUUGGAAGAACUGGCCUGAUACGUUGUCUACAUGGUUCUCCUACAAGGUGUAUGAGUCCAUUUUUAUGCUGCUGAUAAAGACAUACCUGCAACUAAGAGGAAAAAGUUGUUUAACUGGACUUACAGUUCCACAUGGCUGGGAAGGCCUCAGAAUCAUGGCAGGAGGCGAAAGGCACUUCUUACAUGGUGGCACCAAGGGAAAAUGAGGAUGAUGAAAAAGUGAAAACCCCUGAAAAAAUCAGAUUUUGUGAGACUUAUUCACUACCACGAGAACAGUCUGGGGGAAACCGCUCCCAUGAUUCAAAUUAUCUCCCACCCGGUCCCUGCCCCCGCAACCCCCCCACAACAUAUGAGAAUUACGGGAGUACAAUUCAAGAAGAUUUAGGUGGGGACACAAAGCCAAACCAUAUUACAAGGUUUAUAGCCUUGCAGUAAGUAAAGAAUACCAUUUUCUGACAAGCCCAGGAACUUCAGGAUAUUUUGGGGACCUCAAAAAAGAGGGAUUUACCCAAUUCAUACAAGUAUUACAGGCAAAAUCUGAUGGUGAAUUGCUGGCCUGGCUUCCAAUCUUAAGAGGCUUUUAAAGAUUGAACCUGAAAUUCCUUAUAAAAAAAGUUUCAGUCAAGUCAAUUUAAAAAGUGCUCAGAUGGCCAAGUACAAUUCUGGCUGUACUUUAGUCAAAUACUCAGGCCAAGUAUAACAAGUCUAAGACUUUAUUUUGCAAAUAAAUUGGUCCUACUGUAAACCAAAAAGUGUCUGAGACAAGUUUCAGUCCAUUUAGAAAGUUUAUUUUGCCAAGGUUAAGGACAUACCAGUGACACAGCCUCGGGAGAUCUUGACAACAUGUGCCUAAGGUGGUUGGGGCACAGCUUGGUUUUCUACAUUUUAGGGAGACAUGAGACUCAAUCAUUAUAUGCACGAUGUACAUUGGUUUGGUCCAGAAAAGAGGGACAACUUAAAACCAAAAGAGGGCUUCCAGGUCAGAGGUAGAUAAGAGACAAAUGGUUGCAUUCUUUUGAGUUUCUGAUUAGGCUUUCACUGAAUACACAAUUUACAGAAAUAGUCGCUUAUGCCUUAGUCUGGCUUAGUAAAGCAACAGAACAAAGGAAGCACUCAGAUGCGCGUGUCCCAUGUGAGCAGAGGGAUAACUUUGACAUCUGUUUGUGCUUUGUCUAAAGGAAUUUUUCUUCGUGGGAAAAUUGUAAGGGAGGCUUUCAGACAAAUUUUUCUCCUAUUUUUUAAGCUCACUGAAAUUGAUAAUACCUUUUUACCGAGGCCUUGCAAGCUGAAGUUUAUGCAUAAAUAACCUUGUGACAUACAAAUUACAGAUCACAAAAUCUGUCAGAUCGCCAAUGCCUCCUUCCACAGUAACUAAAGAUGCCUCUAGUUGAACAGCUGGAUACCUCAACUGACUGCUCUCCAGACUCUAAAGAAAUCCGUUUAUAGACUGCUCCAAAUAUUAACCUUUGUUUUUCUGCUGUUUGGGAGCCCAUCUGCAACGCCAUUUCCUGAAAUGAGACACAGCUGUUUAAUUGGACUGGUCUACUCGUAGAAAUAGAACACCAGUUUAAUGAUAAUUUUUGCUACUCAGCUAUUAACUCAAAUAUUAUCUUCACACCCAACAACUUAGAUUUUAGUGUGUGAAACUUUGAGGGACAUUUUAGACAGAGGACUUUUGGGGUGCAGAAGUGGUUCCCUGAUAUAUGACACCUGGGCAUGGUGAGUGCUUUUAA
This is a long non-coding RNA of Homo sapiens (human), 2183 nucleotides long. Ensembl annotates it as long intergenic non-protein coding RNA 2717. The record is from Ensembl. NCBI's taxonomy places the organism in Eukaryota, Metazoa, Chordata, Mammalia, Primates, Hominidae.